This 253-nucleotide ribosomal RNA is filed under the name uncultured bacterium. RNAcentral describes it as "partial 16S ribosomal RNA". It matches the Rfam family "Bacterial small subunit ribosomal RNA", at positions 524 to 776 of the family's 1533-position model. The record is from RNAcentral.
UACAGAGGGGGCAAGCGUUAUUCGGAAUUACUGGGCGUAAAGGGCGCGUAGGCGGUACUUCAAGUCAGGCGUGAAAGCCCCGGGCUCAACCUGGGAACCGCGCUUGAGACUGGAGAACUAGAGUUCGGGAGAGGAUGGUGGAAUUCCCAGUGUAGAGGUGAAAUUCGUAGAUAUUGGGAAGAACACCGAUGGCGAAGGCAGCCAUCUGGACCGACACUGACGCUGAGGCGCGAAAGCGUGGGGAGCAAACAGG